Molecule: transfer RNA, 65 nt
Filed under: Reticulitermes labralis
Lineage: Eukaryota; Metazoa; Arthropoda; Insecta; Blattodea; Rhinotermitidae
Description: tRNA-Glu
Rfam family: tRNA
About the family: Transfer RNA (tRNA) molecules are approximately 80 nucleotides in length. Their secondary structure includes four short double-helical elements and three loops (D, anti-codon, and T loops).
Source: RNAcentral
AUUUAUAUAGUUUAUUAAAAACAUUACACUUUCACUGUAAAAACAAAGGCCAACUUUUAUAAAUA